RNAcentral lists this ribosomal RNA (1187 nucleotides) under Chrysis splendidula. Its description in RNAcentral is "partial 16S ribosomal RNA". The record is from RNAcentral. Lineage: Eukaryota; Metazoa; Arthropoda; Insecta; Hymenoptera; Chrysididae.
AUAAAAAAAUAAAUUAAAUUUAUAAGAAAAAUAAAUUUUAAAAAAUAAAAUUAUAGGAAAGUUUAAAGUUUUAGUAAGGGAUAAAAAAAAAUUUAUGAUAAUUUAAAAAAAAUUGUAAAAGAAAUUAGUAAAAUUUUAAAAAGAAAAUUUAAUUUAUUGUACCUUUUGUAUCAGGGGUUAUUAAAUAAAAAUUUAAAAAUUUAUAGAUCUCGAAUUAAAAAGAGUUAAUUAAUUAUUAAAGUUAAUGUGAAAUAAUGAUUUUAAAUAAUUAAUUAAAGGUGAAAUGCUAUUCGUUUUUUAAGAUAUCUAGUUUUUUAAUAUAUAAAUUUAAUUUAGUUAUAAAAAUAAAUUAUUAAUAUUUUAAAAUUAAUAAUAAGUUUAUAAAAAAAGAUUUAUGGGAUAAUCUAUAAGUUUAAAUUAAAUGAAUUUUAUAAAAUUAAUAAAAUUUAAAAAUUAAAAUUUUUAAAAUUAAUAAGUUUUUAAUAAUUUAUUAUAUAAAUAAUGUAAUUUAAUAAAAUUAAUUAAUUAAAUAUUAAAAUAAAAAAUAAAAUUAAUUAAAAUUUAUAAUAAUGAUAAUAUAAGUAUAAAAUAAAGUUAAAUUUAUAAUAAAAAAAAAAUAAAUUUAAGGAAUUAGGCAAUAUUUAAAGUUCACUUGUUUAACAAAAACAUGUUUUUUUGAAAAUAAUUUAAAAUUUACUCUGCCCAAUGAUAAAAUUUAAUGGCCGCAGUAUUUUGACUGUGCAAAGGUAGCAUAAUAAAUAGUUUUUUAAUUGAGGACUGGAAUGAAAGAGGGGAUGAAAUUUUAACUGUCUCAAAUUUAAUAAUAAAAAUUUAUUUUAAGUAAAAAAUCUUAAAUUUAUUUAAGGGACGAGAAGACCCUAUAGAAUUUUAAAUUUUUUAUAUUAAAAUUUAGUUAAUUUAAUUAAAUAAAUUAUAAUAAUAAAAAAUUUUUUAUUGGGAGGAUAUUUAAAUUUAAUUAACUUUAAAUUUUUUAUAACGAUAAUGAAUGAAUUUAUAAAAAUUUAUAAAUAAAAAAAAUAAAAUUACCUUAGGGAUAACAGCGUAAUAAAUUUUUAAAGUUCAAAUUAAAAAAUUUGUUUGCGACCUCGAUGUUGAAUUAAAAUAAAAUUUAAGUGUAGAAGCUUAAUAUUUGAGUCUGUUCGACUUUUAAAAUUUUACAUGAUUUG